UCUCAAAUAAGAGGUCGAGUUGCAGUACUUAGGGAUCGAAUUCACGGAGAGCUAAGGCACACAAUAGAUCUACUAGUUAUGUGGUUAAGCUAGGCAAACAUGUUUUAAAUGUAAAUAGUAGGGUUGUGAAGAAUUAAUUGUUCGAUUAAUUGAUUGGGGUUUUAAGAAAGAUAUGGAAAGCGUUAGACUUAGAGUUUCUAUUCAGACAAUGGAUAUUCUAGAACUCAAACAAUAAGAAUAGUCGAUCAACUUCCAUAUUUUUAGACUAUCUAUCGUCAGAUCUAGGACCUCAGCUGUUUCUUGUUGGUCCUGAGAAAGUGUCCAUCGAUUCCAACAAUGGGGUGUCGAUCGAUACACCUUUCAGCCUGUUGAUCGAUACAACUAAUGAGUUGUCGAUCGAUGAACCUUCCAACCUUCCAGGAGCGUUAUGCACAGGUUUGACGUGUUUACUAGGUUUAGAUAAAUCAUCUUCCGCUUGUUUCUAGCAAUCCUAGAACAAUCUAAACUAAUUCAGAUAGAGAACAGAACUUUCGCUUGCACCCUAAUAUCUAUAGGCAACGUCCUAGUUAGCUACUCUAGAACACAUGCAUUAAGAACAAUUUAAUUGAUGGAUUUCCUAAUACUUAGAAAUUCUAUAUUUUGGGCUAAACCCCCAUAAAUAUUUGAACCCUAAAUCUAAAAAGGAGAAUUACUCAGACUUCGCUAAACAAUUCAUCAAAAAAAAGAUAUGAAAACUGCAUAAAUAGAAUAGAGUAGAAAACUGGAGUUCCAAUCACAAAUCUCUGAAGGAGUUCUUGGAUCUUCUCUCCAAACCAAAUACUCUAAGUAUUUUUCUGUAUGAAAGUAAGAAAGCGUGUAUUGCCUAAAAUAAUGGCAAAACACAUAAAUAUUAGGUUAAAACUCGUCAGGGGUAAUAUGGUAAUUUUUGUGGGACUUGGGCUUAAAGUCAGCUGGAACCAAUCUGACCUCUGCGUGCUUCACUGUCAAUCGACAACACAGAAUAUGUGUUGAUCGAUUAUCAUCCCCGAUCAUCGAUCGCUAGGCUAGUCGAUGGUCAGCUACGAGUCUUAUAAUUUUAUCUCCAAAAUGCACUAAAGUCACCACUUUCGUCCAAAUCACUCCAAAACCUGAAAACAUACUGAAAAGACUCCAAAACAACUAUAAUGUAUUUAAAAAAACCUAUAUACCAUGACUAAAAAUGGGUAAAAUCCAUGGUAUAUCAACACCCCCAGACAUACUCUUGCUUGUCCUCAAGCAAAAGAACAAACAGUCUCUCUGUAAGUGGUUUGAAAAUCACAGGGGCUCACACAAUUUAAGAACUUACAAUCACCAACUCAGCAAUAUUGCAAACUACAUCAAAUCAAGCCUAACUCAUAAGUACUUUCUAUGCAAUAUCCUAGUUUAGCAACCAAUUCCAUUCAUAUAGCAACUUAACUAAUCAUGUCUGACUAACCCAUCUACUGACCUCAUUUCAUUCAUAUAAAUAACAAAGGUGUAGACUUUACCUUGGGAGUAUCGAUCACUAAACACAUGGAAUAAACUCAAACAAGUAUCUGGAACUACAUGUAAACUUUUCUGGUUCCCCUUCUCUCUUCUCUCUUCUCUCUUCACUAAAUCCGAUUUAUUUUAUUUUAUUUUUUUACUGGGCAAAGUUGUAGGCAAAUAGUGGAGUCAUCGAUAAUGUAUCUACCCCUCGCUUCUAAACAAUGUGUGAUCAUUCUAUUAGAGUAGAAUAAUGGGGUCGCAGGAGACACUCCUACCCCUCUACACCACAAGAAAUCAUUUCAAUCUUUUUGUAAAUAUAUAUGGAUGCGAAAGAGAGGUGGAAGGAAAACUAGGGACACUAAGUCUAAUACCUUCUAGACUUGCAGGAGGAUUCCGAUCCAUUGUAUACCAAGCCCCAAGACAAGAAAGUUAAGCUCAAUUAGGUUGGAGGUCAGCUUAGUUCUUUCAAACAUUUCAGCAAGUGUGAAUAACUGGCAGGAUGAUCCACUUUAGCAUCUAUAGUACAAUUUGUAGUCAAUAAAUCUAAGAAUGGUGCUAAAGAGUGGUUAGAUAAGUAAGGAAAGUUUUAAAAGUUCAUUGUCCCCUUCUUGACCCAAUAAAAACUUUUUUUGAAUUUUUUUAUAAAAUUCAUAGGUAAACUUAAUAUUAGUAAACCUCCCCUCAGACUUAAAUUACACUGUCCCUAGUGUAUAUCUAGUCGGAGUUUGAUUGAAACAUAAAUCAUAAGGACAAUAUGUAACAAGGAGUACGAUAUACCUGAUCGCUGAUGUCGAUGUCGAUCGACACAUGGGAGUGUCUAUCGAUCGCUUCUGGUGUUGUGCUAUCGAACGAUGCCGACUGGAUCUCAUCGAUCGAUGACAGGUAACAGCUCAUUGGGUCUUUCUUUUGGUUUUUUUUUUUUUUGGGUUUUGCAAUUUUUUUAUUUAAUUUAUGACUUGAAAUAUAAUUAAAAAUGAAAAUAAAUAACCGCAAACACUAAAACUUUAAAGAAAGUACCUAAUAGUGAGUUGCCACCCACUCAACGCUUUGUUAUAGUCAUUUAGCUUGAUUUUGGAGGAUGUUUUUGGCUAGUAGUAAUCAAAGUGACCACUUGGUUGUAUGCAAGUGUCCACUUCAUCUUUGCUUAUCUGAAACCAAGUGCCAAUGAAGCUUUUUAUGGCCUCAUCUCCUCUGGUCCACUGAUUCUUUAAUCUUUCUCUAGCAACCUCACUUGCAUUCAUCCUAUGCUGAAGAUUUCCAAUGUUGCGCUGUUGCAAUCCAAUUAUGGCAUGUGUAGAUUCUGAGAUGUCUUUCAACUCCUGGUAGACAUCUUCUUUCAGAAAGUCUUGAGAGAAAGUGAUCUCAUCAAGCUUAUCCUGUAAGUCCUUUUCGGCUACCAGCUUGCUUCGUAAUCUGGUAUAGUCGCUGUCGAUCGAUGGGUGUGUCCGUCUGUCGAUCGAUGGUAACGGUUCUGCUUGAAAGUCUAGCUGUCUCUGAAUCAUGUCUAUCGCUUGCUGCAACGCGUUCAUGUGUGUGGUCAAUGAAUUGAUAUUGUCACAGAGCGGGUAGUAGACACCAUCAAGCCUGUAGGUGAAUGAUUGAAGCCUAUCUUCAAAUGAUGCAGGUCGAGCAUCGAUCGAUGUUUAGAUGUCGGCGUCGGUCGAUGUUUGAGCGUUAGCGGCGAUCGAUUUUGAUCUUCCUGCGCCGACUGCAUGUUGUUUCUGAAUCAUGGCUAUGUUUUGCUUCCUCUCAUCUAUGCGUGUGGUCAACCAGCUGAUACUGUUGUCGAAUGGGUAGUAGACGUCCUCGAGCCUCUUUGAAUGAUAAUCAUCUGAAGUCCGAAUAGCUCUGUAGAUCUCUGCUACCAUCUCAUCAAUCUUUGCUUUGCUGUAACUGGCUUCGUCAGCCACGGUAGGUGUGGGUGUCUCUGUGUACUCCCAGCGAGGUUUCCUUUUCCUCUUUUGAUGAAGUACUCUUCUGAAUUCGGACUGGCCGUCGAUCGAUGGUGCUUUGGUUUUGUCGAUCGAUGGUGGAUCCUCAACUCUAGUCCGCGUGUCCAGAAAGUUUCUGGACCCAUUCAUGGUAAUAAUGUCAGCUAUGUCCUCCUUGGAUAUGUUGAGAAUGUGUCCAUCCAUAGCUCGUGCUUGGCCUUCUGGAUCCCUGAAAAUACCAAAUUCAUCCGUAGUUAGAUAACCAAUAUGUAUUGUUGGGGUCAAAAACGGUAACGACGUAAUUAACGCUUGAAUGUCGUCGAUGUUGGGGCAAAAACGGACAUGACGAAGUUAACAUCCAAAUAUCCGUAAAAAUCAUCAUGAACGUUUUUACGAAAAGUAAUUUUCGUAAAGAAAUCUUUACGAAAAACUUUGCGGUGAAACAUUGCAUUAAUCUUGGUUCAUUCAUCGGAACUAAAGAACACGUUCAUGAAACAAGGUCGCCACGUAACGACCGACCCGCGAACAAGCCGGUCGCUACAUAGCGACCGACCCGCGCACGAGUCAGUCGCUACGAAGCGACCGACCCAGCCUCUCAGUCGGUCGCUACGUAGCGACCGAUCCGCAACGAGUCGGUCACUACGUAGCGACCGACCAAGCCUCUCGGUCGAUGACCCCCUCACGAGCUGCCUCUCCAACCUAUUGGGAGGAGGAGGAUUGCUAGAAGAGGCCCCACCUCCUCCUGAGAGUGCUCCGCUUCAUCCUCAGCGGCACCCGACCUCCGGGGCAACACCCGAUCCGUCCGGCAUCGAGAAGGCAGCUCGAAUUCAAGCACGAUCGAACGAAGGCCAAUUCGAGCGACCUCCCCUAAGAGCUCCGAUUAAACCCCGAAGCCCGUCGGUCAUGUCCGAUCUCCCCGAAUGAACUAGAACGAACAAAAAAAAAUCCAUCAAUAACUGCCCGCGCAUGCAAAAGUAAUAAAGAGUAACUUACCUAUGUCCUCAGCCCAAUAGCGGGGAAGCCUCGAGAAAUCAAAACUUCCCACAGACGCCUCAUCGAUCUUGAAGACAAAGAAUUCUUCCCGCCAGUUUUGAUCACGAUAUGAGAUAUCCUGUAUGAUGUGACGUCCUUGACGGGGAGACAUAAGAAAGGUCCCAGGUUUUGAUUGUUUCGCUUCAUCAGAACGAGAUGAUGAAGCUCAUUGAGGCCGAACAAUAGACCUUCUUCGCGAGCCUUGACUAGGAGUGCCAAAAGAUGUCUCAAGAAAUUGGGACACAUCUGAGUGAGCGACAAACCCAGUUCUGCCAGAAUACUAAGGAUAGGUUCUGGGAUCGGGAAGAAAAGACCGCAGGUCUCAAAGAAGGUGAGAUACGCCCCACCGUAUCCAUCACGAACAACUUCCGGAGAUUCAGUCGUGGAAGCCAAAUCAACUACGACGGUCCCCAUUGACGCCGUGGACGGUAGUAUAACUAGUAUAACCAGUAUAACUCAGUAUAACAAAUUCAGAAGUAAAACUCGAUAUAACUUAUACAACUAAGUAAAACUAUAUCAAUAUAAUGUAGUAUCCCAAAUUUGAAAAUUCGAAAUUUUGAAAAUUUGAAUUGUUUUUUAAAUAAUUCAAAAAUAUAAAAGGGCAAAAUCGGUUAUUCAUAUUUAAUUAAAGCAAUGGGGGUAUAGGAGAUUUGAGAGGCCCAUAGGAGAUUGCUCUAUGACAUACGGGGGCAUGAGAAAAGUUGGUUCUCCGGCGAGUUUCCCCACCUCUUCCGUUCUCAAUCCAGCGAUGCUUGUAUCCGACAAUUACAUACCCUAUAUAUUCUCUCUGCUUAUGCAAAACCCUAGAUGUUGGAGGGGAAGAAGAUCUGUUACUCUUCAAUGGCGGAAGUAGAGAACGCUAAUGCAAUCCUGGUCUCAGAAUAUGAGAAGCUAAUCGUGGCAAGCGACGUGCCUGGAGAUGGGUAAAACUUCCUCCGCCUCUCUCUCUCUCUCUCUCUCUCUCUCUCUGUUGAAUCCAAUCUCAUCUUGCAUAUGGUAUUUGUUUACUGUAUGACCAGAACUGGAUUAGUCUAUGUUCGAUUAGCAGAAAAAGACUUUGUCCUUUUGGUGUGUGAUUCUGAUUGUUUCUCAUUAUGCCACUGGAACUGAGUUCUGAUAUGCGUUUUGUGGGAAAAGUUUUACCCUUUUCAUCAGACUGCAUUCUGAUUUGUCGCGUUUACUGAUUUGUAGCUACAUAUUGGCUAUUUUACUGAUUUGGUAUUAUAUGAUGGAGCUGGAAUCUUUGAUUGUCUUCUUUUGGAAACAUCUCCUCUAUUACCUCCAAAUCUCAUAACUCAAUCUCCCAAGGACCCCAUCUAAAAUUAUUUUAUUUUAUAUAAUUUUAAUGCGAAAGUUAAGUUAAUUACACUAAUACCCCUAACCGUAAUAUACAGAUAUCAAUUGAUUUAGUUUUUCUUAUUCUUAUCAUUCUUUAUCCUUUUCUUUCUCUUUUCUCUGCCACAACCGUUCCUUUUUUUCUCUCUUCUUCCGGCGACUUUCUCUCUUCUCUUCUUUCUAUCUUCUCUAUUUUCUCUGUGAUUUUCUUCUUUUUCUCAGUAAACAGUAAAACAGAUCCGUUGUAGAUGAAGAAAACAACGGUCGAAGGUGAUAGAAACAAAAUCAAUGGCGAUUAUUCCUCUUCACGCGCUUUAGAUCUGUUCAAAACGGCGAUGGUUCAACAUAUGCACUUCAAAUCUUCUUCUUCUCUCGCUUCACAUCAAUGGCUAUUCUUUCUCUUCCCGAGUUUUUAUUGUCCUCAUGUUUUCGAUUUAGGGCUGUAAAUUAAGAUUCUGGGUUUUGUAUGAUUAGGGUUCUUCUUGUUCUCUAUAGAUGUGUUUUUUUUUAUGAUUUAAUGAUUUUAUUGUUCUUGUUCCCCCUUUGCAAAGUAUGUUUCGUGUUUUUUAUUUGUUUUCUUCAGAUCUGGAUCCAGUAUAACUCGGUAUUACUAACUCAGUCGAGUUUGGUAUAACUAACUCAGUAGUACCUAGUAUUUUAUAGUAUAAUAAGUAGAACUUAGUCGAACUCGAUAUAAUUAACUUAGUAGUAGUACUAGUAAUACUUAGUAGUAGUACUAGUAAUACUUAGUAGUACUCAGUACAAUCGGUAUAACUACAUUCAGUAGUAGUCAGUCAGAGAAUAGCUGUUGCAACCACAUGACUUGCCGGUAAGACAUACAUCCAUAGCUCCAUAGCUCAGGAUGAUUUCUCUGUGUUUACUGGUGUGGGAAACGAACCUGUGAAGGCAAUGACUUGUACAGAGAAAUUAUUGCGAGUGGUGUCAUCAAAGUAGGUGAGAAGUAGGUUGUUUUCAAGUUCGUUGAUUUUCUUUUCUAUAAAUGACUUGUUUUCGAGUUUUCAAGUAGGUGAGAAGAAUGUCUUGAACUGUCUGUUUCUAUAGCUUUUGUCAGCAACGAUUCCUGAGAAAAAGAUUGUGGAUAGCUUAUACCAAGAAGAGCCACAACUCUUGAGGAGACCAAGCAACCACUUUCUCAUUUUUCUCGUUAGUAUAUGAAGUUAGUUUAGUGUUUGGAUGAUCUUAUGUAAAACUUGUUCUUUUUUAAUGUAAUAUUAUAGUGGAAUCCAUAAUCGAAAUCAUCUAGCAGACAAA
Brassica napus (rape) is the source of this 7055-nucleotide long non-coding RNA. RefSeq lists it as uncharacterized. The record is from RefSeq and is a predicted model, not a curated record. NCBI's taxonomy places the organism in Eukaryota, Viridiplantae, Streptophyta, Magnoliopsida, Brassicales, Brassicaceae. The transcript is spliced from 2 exons.